Ahaetulla prasina is the source of this 4746-nucleotide RNA transcript. It is a transcript of the gene named aminopeptidase O (putative), with no coding region annotated. NCBI's taxonomy places the organism in Eukaryota, Metazoa, Chordata, Lepidosauria, Squamata, Colubridae. The record is from RefSeq and is a predicted model, not a curated record. The transcript has 4 exons.
UUCGACUCGGUUAGCUUUGGACCGGUCGUGUUUUUUAUUACCUCAAACCUUGGCAUAAAAGUUAAGAUUUCAGGUUAAAUUUUUUUCCUUUUUGUUUUCUCUUUUCUGCUUCUACUUUUUGGCCAUUUAUGGGCUUAAAUUGUUUCAGCGAAGAAGGGACUGGCUCCCGAGCCCGCUGAAGGCGACCUGGGCGUUUAUUUUAUUUUUUUUUUUUGUUCGCCCGGCCAGCCAAACAGCUGAGAGGCGCACACGGGCGGGUUCCCCGCAGCAAGGAGAGCCGCGGCGGCGGUUAAAAAAAGAGGAGAAUCACCGACAGGCUCUCGGUCAGGCCCGACGUGUUCUCGACGGCCGGCUCUCUGGAUAGCUCUCUCAGCGCCUCAAGCCUUUCCGCCUCGCUCCCGCGCUUAUUUUCACCACAGGGAGCCUUUUAAGCCGCGUUCGUAGCCGAGAGGCGAGCGGCCCACCCCCCACCCCCAAAUUUGAUCGGCGGUUUUGGGAGGCAUUUGGGGAGCUGCACGGAGGCGAUUGUAGGACGGCAGUGAGGCCACCCGGCUGGCAAAGAAGCGGCGGCCGGCGGAGCGCCCUGAAAUAAAGAGGACAAAUUAUUGGGCCGCUUCAAGACCAGCAGCCAGUUAUCCAACAGCCGGCGGGAAGUGGAAGGACUGAAUCGCCUGCAGCCCCUUUCUCAGUACAACUGCAGCUAAACUGUAAGUAGGCCACAGCGGCCCUGUUUUGGCGGGAAAAAAAUUCAAAAUGGCGGACGCCAUUUCAAGCCAGCCGGAAUUGCCGGCCUCAGCCCAAGAAGUCUCUAAUCAAGACAACCCUGAGGAGGGCUCCUCUUCAGACCCUCGGGACUCACCAACCAGGGGCAGGAAAAUGGCCAAGGGCAAGAAAGGGGCGCGGGCUGAGGAGAGGCGCCAUAAGGCGCUCGAGAGGGCCUUCUCUAGGGCAUCCAAGAGGGUUCACAGAUCCCCUUCACCUAAACAAAAGGGGAACAAGAGCACCUCCGACCCUCAGACCUCUACCAACCCAGAUCUCAGUGCAUCACCAAUCCAGGGGUCUGGGUCUUGGUCCCCGGACAGAUCAUCUUCAUGGCCCAUGGCCCAGGCUGGGGUUGCUCCUUUGUUCCGUACUCUUUCGGAAAUAGACCUUCAAAAUAUCGCUGGCCCAAUCCCAAGUCACUCAGACAACGUGAUCCAGGAGGCAGGAGGGCCUAGGCAACAAUCGGAGGCCACAUUACCCCAGCUUACAGUUGGUCAGCUUCCUGAUUCUUUGGGAUUGAUGAUUCAACAGGCCAUACGCCAGGAAUUGGCGUCUCUCCUCCAAAAGGAACCAACCCCCCCCGCGGCCCCCAAACCUCGUAGCGGGGAUAGAGCACGAGAUGCCUCAACUUUAGGUUCAGUCAGGUCCAGACCCCAGGGGGAACAAACCAAUGAGGUGGACAGCCAAGCCUCUUUAUCCGAAGAGGAGGAUACCGGGGAGGCCUUGUCAGAAGAUGAGGGGUUAGGGCCUGAUCAACCAUCAUUUGUGGGACUCUUUAAACCUCAUCUCUUUCGUUCUCUGCUGUUUAAGGCGUUAACAACCACGGGUCUUGGGGCAAUUCAGGCCCCUCCGGCUGAGACUCUGUCUCUGCCUAGCACCUCAAAUAGUCUAUUUGUGGAACCCACGGUGGUUGCAGAAACCAUCCCUGCCCCAAAGAUGUUUGUAGACGUGGUCCAGCGGCAAUGGUCUCAUCCGGGUGCGGGCUCUAACCCCAACGCCACUGACAAGAAGUUUUAUAAUUGUGCUCCGGAGCUGGAGAAUAUUUUGCAGGUACCUACGGUAGAUGCCCCGGUAGUGGCUCUGACAACGACAUCCCAUGUUACGGGUCCGGCGAAUGAAGCUCUUCGUCCGGAAGAUAAAAGAGCGGACCAAUCCCUCGUCAAAUCCCAUCAGGCCGCGGCCUGGUCCAUCAGGUCCUCCAUAGCGUCUUCCUUUUUUAAUAGAGCAUCAAUUAUGUGGCUGAAACAGCUUCAGAGCCGCCUUGCAGCUUCAGACGUAAGAGCCCAUCAGGACCUUAAUAAGGUAAUUGCAGCCUUAGAAUUCUCCGCCGAUUCAACAUUGAACGCAGCCAGGUUCUCAGCAAAAUCUAUCGGGUCCACCGUCACUUCCCGCCGGCUUUUAUGGCUCCGACACUGGCGGGCUGACACCAGGAAUAAGUGGCGCCUGGCAUCCUCUCCCUAUGCAGGCUCACACUUGUUCGGGGCCUCUCUGGACCCGAUCCUAGUAGAAACCAAGGACAAGAAGAAGGUGUUGCCAUCCUUAUCCCGCCGGGGAGAACUUCGUCAACAGCCGUACUUUCGCCCAGGGGCUGCUUCUUCUUCUUCUUCUUCUUCCUUUCGUGACCAGGAACUCGGAGGAGCGGGGUUUCGUCGACAAAGGUUUUCUCCGUAUAGAGGGAACUCUCAGAGGACCGAUCAGUCGGCCUCUUCAGUGGUUCCUCUUGCCACACCAGAGGAACCAAUGCGGUCUUUCCAGACGACGGGUGUCGCUGCCACGGGAGGUAGCCGACUCGUUGGCAUGGUGGAAUCCGGAGAGGGUGGCCAGAGGAUCAGUCUUCAGGGAACCAGUGAGGACUGUUAUCACCACCGACGCCAGCCUGUCGGGAUGGGGAGCUCAUCUGGAUCAACACCUGGCCCAGGGCAAGUGGAACCUAUCGGAAAUCGGCCACGGCAUCAAUUUUUUGGAGCUGAGGGCCAUCCGCCUCGCUCUCUUGGCCUUCGAGACACUCAUUCAGGACGGGGACGUCCUUGUCCUCACGGACAAUGUGACAGCGAAGGCGCAUAUAAACAGAUGGGGAGGUACUCACUCUCGUGCGUUGAUGACGGAAACACUCUCCCUCGGUCAGUGGGCCGAAUCCCACCUGCGGUCAAUAAGAGCGGAACAUAUUGCGGGGGCGGAAAAUUGCACAGCGGACUCCCUCAGUCGUCAGACCAUCGACCAGUCGGAAUGGUCAUUAUCCCCAGAGAAUUUCCAAGAGUUGAAAUCCAGGUUCGGGCUCCCGGUGGUGGAUUUGUUCUCUUCCGAGACCAACAAUCAAGUGCCCCGAUUCUUUUCGAGGUUCCCUGCUUGGGGAGCGGAAUCAGUGGACGCCCUACGCAGCAGCUGGCCUCGGGGUCUCCUAUACGCCUUUCCACCGAUUCCACUGAUCCCCAGAGUGAUCCGGAAGCUCCUAUCCGAGAAGUCAGAAUUAAUAUUGGUCGCCCCCUUCUGGCCCAGGAGACCCUGGUUUGCGGACCUGAUCACUCUGUCAAUUCGAGAACCGUGGAGGAUUCCGGACAGCCAGGUGUCCCUCUACCAGGGACCAGUUCGACAUCCCAAUCCGCAAUGGCUACGCCUAGCCGUGUGGAGGUUGAGCGGUGCGUCUUAGCUACAGCAAGGGUUCCGAAUCAGGUCAUUCCUACCAUGCUAGCGUCUCGCCGAGACUCUACCAAACGAAUCUACGAGGCCACGUGGCGCACAUUCGAAAAGUGGUGCACAACUCACAGUAUAGGGGCCUCUUCGGCUUCCGUCUUGGACAUUCUGGCUUUUCUGCAACGAGGCCUCGAUUCAGGACUGGCGACGAACACACUUAAGAGGCAGGUGGCGGCUAUUUCGUCAGUCCUGAGGUGCGGCUCACUCAUUUCCCUUUCAAAGGAGCCCCUCAUUCAACAAUUCUUCCGGGGGGCCAGCAAUGUUAACCCGCCGGUCGUACAUCGCUUUCCAUCUUGGCGAUUGAACGCGGUACUCAAUGCUCUAACCAAGACACCAUUUGAACCACUUAGAGAUUCCUCUCUCCGGUUUCUGUCGCUGAAGGUUUCCUUUCUGAUAGCCAUCACAUCGGCACGCAGAAUUUCGGAAUUAUCAGCCUUGUCAAUCCGUCAAGACCUCUGCACUUUCUUUAAGGAUAGGGUGGUGCUACGUCUAGACCCUACCUUCAUUCCGAAGGUUAACAGUCAAUUCCAUAGAGCACAGGACAUCGUACUGCCUAAUUUCUGCCCAAAUCCCAGACACCAUUUGGAAAAAGUGUGGCACACUCUAGACGUUCGGAGAGCAUUGAAGAUUUACAUUGAUCGGACAUCAACCUUCCGCAAAACAGAAGCCCUUUUUGUUUCAUUCCAACCACUUACUCUGGGUCAGAAGGUGACAAAAUCGGUUCUGGCUAGGUGGAUCAGGGCGACAAUAGCCACAGCAUAUGAGAGUCAGUCCCUUCCGGUGCCGCGUAAUAUUACGGCACACUCUACCAGGAGUGCAGCCUCUUCUGCCGCUUGGGGGGCCCAAGCUUCGAUCGAUGAGAUCUGCAGAGCAGCAACGUGGUCCACUCCUUCUUCGUUCAUUCGACACUACCGGGUAGACUCCUACGCGUCGGCGGACGCAGCGUUUGGCAGACGAGUUCUACAGACGGUUUUUUCGCAACAACAAUGACUAGCCGCCUUCGACCCUCCCGUUCAACACGACGACCUGCAGUUGGAUCCUCGCCGAAAAAGCUGGAAAGGAAAAGGAGUAGGCGGGGACCACAAACGAAUAAUUUUAAGACUCGGUCCAAUCAGCAUCGAGGAGAUUAACCCAGUCCUGACGGCCGUUUUCCCCUCUCUAAGAAGGGACGUUCAGCUUUCCCCGGACCAGCUGGUCUUACUUCUGGAGUGUCUCCUGCAGAAGGGGACAUUCUGUUCAAAAAUGUUGGAAUGCUUACAGAAAACUUACCACCUCCGUGAGCAGGAUGCAGAG